UGGAUCACCUCCUUUCUAAGGAUGAUCAAGAAUGGGGUUUACUCCUUUUUGAUCAAAUUAGACAUGAGUUUUAUUCACAUUUAAACUUGUCUCAAGUACAAAUGUUUUGAAUAAAACCUUUUAAUCAGCCUAUAGUCACUAUAGGUUAAGCAGGCUUGCCGCCUUCAUUUCUCUUUCUUCCGAUGAUGAUCCCAAGCCUUCAGGCGUUCUGUUCAUCAAAUUUCGAAUGCGUUAAAAAAACACUUGAAAGCAUUUAAAUUUAAAAAACAUUUAAGUGCAUUUAAGAAACGUUCGAAAGCGUUUAAGAAACAAAUAAAGAAAGUGUUUUAAGAAACAUAUCUGUUUCUUAAAUAUAGCUUUUGUUCUCUUUUGUUUUCUUUUAUCUGUCCCGAGGAAGGUUUUUACCGGUUUACUCCUGAGGGCUUGUAGCUCAGUUGGUUAGAGCGCGCGCUUGAUAAGCGUGAGGUCGGAGGUUCAAGUCCUCCCAGGCCCACCAAUUUAUGAUUGCUGAUAAGUUUGCUGAUAAAGUUUUUUGCGAACGUUUUGAUGGUCUUUUAUCUUGCAAUCUUUCAAAAGUAUUUGAACUGUUUUAGGGGCCGUAGCUCAGCUGGGAGAGCACCUGCUUUGCAAGCAGGGGGUCGUCGGUUCGAUCCCGUCCGGCUCCACCAUCUUUGGUUAUCAUCAUCGUUAAAGAACAAUGUUUGCGAUAGAUCUAUAGAUCUUAAGUCUAUCAUCUAUUGCCUGUUCUAUUGAAAUUGUGAAGAGAAGAUAUAUUCAGACAUUAUUGUUUUUUAGUAAUUGCUGUUGUUGUUGUUGCUUUUAAGAUUUAAGUCUCUCCUUUAAGGAAUGACAAAAAGCUUAAAAAAGCAACGCUAACUUAAAAACACAACGCUAACAUUGCUUUAAAGCAUUGGCUUUUUAAAUUUAGUCAUUGUUUUAAAACAUAUUAAAACAAUAUAAUGUGUCGCUAAGGUAUGCUCAAAGCCUUAGCUUUAUGAUUGGUGUUUAACCGCGCCAUUGAAUAUAUCUCGAGAAACUGGUCUUUCUGCUGAUAUUUUUGUUUAUUAA
This 1068-nucleotide transfer RNA is filed under the name Bartonella sp. Pangjai-1. Its description in RNAcentral is "partial contains 16S ribosomal RNA, 16S-23S ribosomal RNA intergenic spacer, and 23S ribosomal RNA". The stretch from base 420 to 493 matches the Rfam family "tRNA". Lineage: Bacteria; Pseudomonadati; Pseudomonadota; Alphaproteobacteria; Hyphomicrobiales; Bartonellaceae. The record is from RNAcentral.